This is a long non-coding RNA of Myotis davidii, 678 nucleotides long. RefSeq lists it as uncharacterized. The record is from RefSeq and is a predicted model, not a curated record. NCBI's taxonomy places the organism in Eukaryota, Metazoa, Chordata, Mammalia, Chiroptera, Vespertilionidae. The transcript is spliced from 2 exons.
AAGAUUCUGUCACAGACUAUGUGCCUCCUCCAAACGCAUGCUCCAUUUUCUCUCUGGAAUGGGCUUCUCCCCUUCCUGCUCUACAGACAUUCUACUUAUCCUUUAUCCUUCAGAGCACGUCCAAAUGCCUCUUCCCUAAUCCCCACCUUCCCCUGGCCCUAGCAGAAUCAGUUACUCCCACUGGCCUUUGUUUGCACUUCCAUUACAACAUUGAUCCCUCUGGAUUACAAAUCAUUGUGUGUGCUGUCUUUCCCACAAGAUGACCAGCUCCUUGAGGACAGGGAGUCUGUUACUCAUUUGAGGGUUCCCAAAGCCCAGUGAUAAUAGCCUGCUACAGAGUAGACAUUUCAGUGUAUGUUGCUGAAUUCUACUGAAAGGAUUUACAGAAACUCAAGGUAGUGAUUUUCGACAACUGUUCACUUUGGUGUGCACAACAGACGAAGAAAAUGAAGGAAAGAGGAUUCGAAUCCAGAAGUCUCCUAUCCCAUUAUUCUACAAGGAGUGUUGGUGAUUGCACUGAAAUGCCAUUUUUAAAGAAAGAAGGGCUUCUGGACUGAAAACUGGGGCAAUGUAGGGACUGUAACCACAUAAUAGCUGCUGGUCAGUGCAUCCAUCCAAAUGGAACAAAGUACAAAAGCCACCCUGUCCCCAAAGUAAGCUUUAGAAGUGCCAGAGAAA